Molecule: ribosomal RNA, 818 nt
Filed under: uncultured bacterium
Lineage: Bacteria
Description: bacterial SSU rRNA
Rfam family: Bacterial small subunit ribosomal RNA
Source: RNAcentral
GAUGAACGCUGGCGGCGUGCUUAACACAUGCAAGUCGAACGAUGACUUUUGUGCUUGCACAAAAUGAUUAGUGGCGAACGGGUGAGUAACACGUGAGUAACCUGCCCUUAACUUCGGGAUAAGCCUGGGAAACUGGGUCUAAUACCGGAUACGACGGUCCACCGCAUGGUGGUCCGUGGAAAGCUUGAUGCGGUUUUGGAUGGACUCGCGGCCUAUCAGCUAGUUGGUUGGGGUAAUGGCCCACCAAGGCGACGACGGGUAGCCGGCCUGAGAGGGUGACCGGCCACACUGGGACUGAGACACGGCCCAGACUCCUACGGGAGGCAGCAGUGGGGAAUAUUGCACAAUGGGCGAAAGCCUGAUGCAGCGACGCCGCGUGAGGGACGAAGGCCUUCGGGUUGUAAACCUCUUUCAGCAGGGAAGAAGCGAAAGUGACGGUACCUGCAGAAGAAGCGCCGGCUAACUACGUGCCAGCAGCCGCGGUAAUACGUAGGGCGCAAGCGUUAUCCGGAAUUAUUGGGCGUAAAGAGCUCGUAGGCGGUUUGUCGCGUCUGCUGUGAAAGCCCGGGGCUCAACCCCGGGUCUGCAGUGGGUACGGGCAGACUAGAGUGCAGUAGGGGAGACUGGAAUUCCUGGUGUAGCGGUGAAAUGCGCAGAUAUCAGGAGGAACACCGAUGGCGAAGGCAGGUCUCUGGGCUGUAACUGACGCUGAGGAGCGAAAGCAUGGGGAGCGAACAGGAUUAGAUACCCUGGUAGUCCACGCCAUAAACGAUGAGUGCUAAGUGUUAGGGGGUUUCCGCCCCUUAGUGCUGCAGCUA